AGGCAAAGGGCUGGGGGUUGAGGGCAACAAGAACUGGAGCUGGUGGGAGAGAGGGGUUCUGCAGAGGCGGGGAGGGGUGAGAACCACACCCACACCGGGCACACAGGACUUCUGCAUAUUUGUGCCCGGCUCGGCUGACCACUAGAGGCAGCCUGGCUGGGCAGCGUCCAUCCGGAGUCAGAGGUCUGGGCUGCGAUCCACAGCCACCAUGUGUGCCGGCCUUGGGCGUGCAGCAGGCUCCACCCAGCCUGUUUCUUCGCACACGCAGUAGAGGGUCCCUAUCAGGCACUUGGAGAAGAUGUAGGAAAAGCACUCAGCACAGUAUCAGACCCAGCAGCAUGACUUCUUCCUUCUUAGGAUGCUGGCACCCCUGGAAGAAAUGGACCAAGACGCCAGAUCCUAUCUCUUUCCCCUCUGUGAGGCUCCCCAAUUGCAGACACAGGACUUCAGCUCUUGCCCCCAAAAGCUGCAGGUCCAGAUGGGGAUGAGGCACUCACAUGGAAAAGGAAAUCAACUGAGCAGGCAGAGUGCCACAAAGGCCUAGGGAACCGAGACUGCCCUGGGCGGGGGAGGACACCUCUGCCUAGAUUUCAGGCCAUAUCCAGGGUCUCCAGAAAGAAAGGCCUAGAAGCCACUCUCCUAACCCUGAGGCCCCAGGAAGCAGCAUGUUCCUGGUAGAACACUGGUCCCCACAGGCCUUAUCUUCCUCCUGUCAGUCUUUUAGGUGGGGAGGGACACCCCACACUCCUAGAAGAGAGGCCAGGGCAGCAUAGGCUCAGAGCCGGAAGGGGCCCUAGGAUGUCACUGUCCCACACCGUUGUUCUGCAGCCCACACAGGGCAGGCCCGUGGUAGGGUCCUUAGAAAGUGAGGGGCAGAAACACAGCAGGAUGCAGGCCUCCCAAGCUGGGGUUCUCGCGAAUAGGACAUUUCUGUAAGCCUUUGUGCAGACCACCAACAUGGAACAAUGGAAAGAAAAAGUGACGGAUUUACAGCCAGAGGCCCUGAGUCUCCAGUCCUCUCUGAGACUAGUUCCUGUGUAAUCUGAGUGAGCUCUUGCUGCUCUCAGGGCCUCAGUUUCCACAUCAGUGAAAGGAGGGGGUCUGGAUUCCAUUUCUAAGAUCCCUUCUGGCUCGACUGUUCUGAGAGUUAAAGGCCAGGAGUUGGUGCCACCUCUCCCACCCUGUUUCCAAAAUCUUUCCCAAAGCCUCAGAGAACUCAGGUGGAAGAAAAAUUUGGACAGAGGCCUGGAUGGGAGAGAGUGUAGGGACUCUGACCCCGUCUCCACCCCCUGCUAAGCCAAGAUGCCGGGCCUGCAGGCGAGGUGGCCAUCCCCACGAUGGAAGGGAGGAGCGGCCUCCAGGGAUGGCACAGAAGCUAAAACCCAGCAGCUGGGCCUUCAACCACCUACUUCCCAGCCCAUGGCCUCGAGACUGGUGGCCAAGUGGAGGCUUCUCGAACUGAGGGUGGAAGGCAGGGAAGAAACAGGGCAGAGGAAGUGGCCUAAGAUUGAGCUGUUCGCUUUGUCUGAACCUGUCCCCUGAGAGCCAAGCCUGCAGCCCUAGGGUCUUCUGAUGAUGGGGAGCAGGGGGUGGAAGAGGUUGGUGGACCUGACCCCACAGCCAUUCCUAGAUCACUAGGUGUGGGACUGGAAGGAUACUUAAGUCAAUGUUUUUCAAGUUGCAGGUCAGGACCCUCCUGGUGGACCUUGAAGUUAAUUCAGUACUUUAAUUAAUUAAAUCAAAAUGACUAAUGAUGAUAGUGUUAAAAUCAAAGAGACAAUAUAUAUGACUGCCUCCUGAGUAGUAAGCAUAAAUGCUCUCCUGAAACUGGUUUAAAUUUUUGUCUUGUGCCAGGUUGUGAUGUAAUGGAUUUCUUGCUCCUGGUCCCAGUCACAAAGCCUCGAAAAGCCGCGCCUGAGAUCACGAACCCUGGCCCUUUUUUUUGCCAGCAGGAGCGGGAAUUGGCUGCAGCUCCCCUCCGAAGCUCCUUGCCUACACACCUGGCCACCUGCUCAGGGGCCCCAUCCCAGCAGCUGCACACACUCAUGCCUCUGUGUCCUUCAAACCCUCCCUUCUCUCACCGUCUCUCUUCGUCCAAACCUGCCUGGAUCCAGGGCCGCCUGUGUAAAUGUUGCACUGUCCCCCAGAGGUGCCAGGCAAGAUGGCCCUUUCUUUACAAGCACUUUCCCCCUAAACCAACUAGUUCCUAUCAAGUUGGCGCUCUAAUUUGUGGAUGAAUUAAGCAGGCAGGUGAAUGCACAAUGGAUCAGAAGCUGAAGUGCUCUGGGCUGGGAGAUGGGUGCAGAGGCUUGCUGUGUUAAUAGCCAGUAACAGCCAAGCACCUACUGUGUGCCUGUACCUCACAGCUCCUGGGGACACGAGGCCACCAGGAACCCCAACACGGAGAUCCACUGGGCUGCCAAGGGAGCCUGAUGACCCCGUACAGCCAUCAAGGAAGGAGUCACCAGGCAAAGGGCCAGGCAGGGUGGGGUCAGGUGGGGGUCUUCUAGGCAAAAGAGUGGAGCUUACUUGGCACCGAGUAAGUCCUUUGUAGCACAUGCCACUUGUCUUACCGUUACACUUUGGUAUUUAACUCCCCCUAGACUAAACUCCAGGACAGGGCGAGGACCAGAUGGUGCCUUCUGGGCUGAGCAUGACAGUUCUGGCAGCAGCCUAACUCAUUAAACAUUAACCAGUGGAAUAUUCAGGAACCUGCAGGUGGCUCAGACUGGCCCCAGGUAGAGAGUGUAAGGAGGAAGCUGCAGUGGAGCGCUGGGAAGAGCCAGGCUUUCUCCAUCUGGCACUGGGGAAUAUGGGGGGGGGGGGUGCGGUCCUUAAACAGGAAAGACACAGGUAGUCAGUCAUGGUUUAGAAUAUUCCUCAUACUCUGGGGUCCGCAGCAGGGGCUGCACCAGGCAGGCAGCGAGAAACAGGGCCGCAGUUACCCAGGCGAGGAGGCUUGAGUCUAGAGGCAGUGGAGUGGUGCGCUCUGAGAAGGCAUUUGGGAACCCCAGGUGUGUGCCACCGAGGCAGAGCAGGCUUCUGGGCUGCAGGCUUCCAGGCUGCGGGCUCCAGAUGGGAAGAAGACGCCCAGUUAACCCACCCCACAAGGGCACAGGGUGGUCCUGGGAGGCGUGUGCCAGCCCAUCACUGGUACUAGCACAUUCAGAGUUUAACCCUUCUGCCCUCACACUUGUAUUUUCUUUGCCUUUUUAAUCAACUCAUGUGUUAACACAUUUAUAUACUUUAAAAGUGAACAUUAGAUAGAGCACAGGGGUAGAGUGCUUGCAAAGCAUCACGAGAGGCCCUGGGCUCAAUCCCCAGUGCUAUAGAUAAAUAAAGUGAUUAUUAGGG
This is a long non-coding RNA of Heterocephalus glaber (naked mole-rat), 3354 nucleotides long. Lineage: Eukaryota; Metazoa; Chordata; Mammalia; Rodentia; Bathyergidae. The record is from Ensembl.